GUUUUUCCAAAUAGUUGAGAAAUGCCCUAAUAUAGGUGCUCCUUACCAAAGGCACCAAACUUCUUGAAGAAUAAUGUAAAAAGUUACUUUCCUUGGUAUUGACCAAGAGAAAGAAAUAUUGACUAAUAUUUUGGCUAUAAAUGGCAAGUUUGAGCAGUUGACAGGAAGUUGGGUCCCUGAAGCUUUGAAGACCAAGGAGCAAGCUUUAGAUGGUAAGUCACUGUGGUUAUGGAGCAGAGAAGUAGCUGUAUAAACGUCAUCUUGGAAAACUGUGCAGCUAAAAAAAUUUUAAAGAUAUAUUUGGGGAAAUAUUUUGGAAAUAAGAAAGUUAUCUAACUUUUAUUAUCAGAUGUGAUAUAGCUUGGUGCAGAAAAGAAAGAAAAAGAAGGGAAUGGAAAAGCAUUUCUUAAAAAAAAAAAUGAACAUCAUUGGCUGAGGCCAUGGUAAUCUUCUUCGUAUUGUUCCAAUAUAAAAAGGACUUAAAAACAGCAUACUACAGGGACACAGCCACAUCAAUGUUUGUAGCAGCACAAUUCAUAAUAGCUAAACUGUGGAACCAACCUAGAUGCCCCUCAGUAGAUGAAUGGAUAGAGAAAAUGUGGUAUAUAUACACAAUGGAAUAUUACUCAGCAAUAAAAGAGAAUAAAAUCAUGGCAUUUGCAGGUAAAUGGAUAGAGAUAAUGCUAAAUGAAGUUAGCCAAUCCCCAAAAAGCCAAAUGCUGAAUGUUUUCUCUGAUAUAAGGAGGCUGAUUCAUAGUGGGGUAGGGAGAGGGAGCAUGGGAGGAAUAGAUGAACUCUAGAUAGGGCAGAAGGAUGGGAGGGAAAAGCAUGGGGGUAAAAAAGAUGGUGGAAUGAGAUGGACAUCAUUACCCUAAAUACAUGUAUGAAGACAUGAAUGGUGUGAAUAUACUUUAUAUACAACCAGAGAUAUGAAAAAUUGUGCUCUAUAUGUGUAAUAUGAAUUGUAAUGCAUUCUGUUGCCAUAUACAACAAAUUAGAAUUUAAAAAAAGUUGGAGGUGUGCUGAGUGAUGGGAGAGAAAGUGAAGAGUCAAAAAGAACCUGAGAGGAACACGUCAAAUAGGUAAUUGCUCUCCCCGAGAAAUGGUUUCAUAUCAUUUUAUAACUAUAAACUUCUAGUUGAUUUUUUUUUUUUUUGUACUGGGGAUUGAACUCAGGGGCACUUGACCACUGAGCCACAUCCCCAGCCUUAUUUUGUAUUUUAUUUAGAGACAGGGUCUCACUGAGUUGUUUAGUGCCUCACUUUUCUGAGUCUGAUUUUGAACUCAGGAUUCUCCUGCCUCAGCCUCCCAAGCCACUGGGAUUACAGGCAUGUGCCGCUGCACCCGGCUAGUUGAUAUAUUUCUUGGAGAGGUUUUAGGUCACCAGUGCAAAAGCCAGGAGACACAGUGCUGAGUUCCAUGCCCACUCACUUGCCCCAACACUGGCUUUUUGUCAAAAAACAAACUCAGAUUUUUUUUUUCUCUACUGUCAGCACUGACCAUUGGGUAAUAUAGAAACACAAGACAUUGCGGGAGCCCAAACUGCUUUGCAGCCUCUGCACUGAGAACUGUCAGAAGCUCCUCACCACCCCAUGUUACCACCCUCCUGGGUCAAUUACUAUGACCACAAUGAGAGAAGUUUCCACUUUGGAACCCCGAUGUUGACACCUUUUUAGUACUUUGAUUUCUACAUAGUUGAUGUUCUAUCUGCUCUGUAUAUAGUAGAUAUUCUAUAGGAAUGUAGGCCUUAAUUAGAUGGGUGACUAGUUGGUUAGUACUGAAUACAGAAAUCCAAGCUGCCUUCUGAACUGCUUGCAAGCUGAACCCUGGUGCUUCUCAGACUUCAGUGUGAAUGGGAAUUACCUGGAGGCGCUUAUUAAAAUUCAGGUUCUGGGGUUGGGGAUGUAGUUCAAUGGUAGAGUACUUCUUAGCAUGGGUGAGGUCCUGGGUUCCAUUCCUAGUAUCAGAAAAGAAAAAUCAGAUUCGGAUUCAGAAGACCUGGGCUGGCUGGAGUCAUGGAGUUUGCAUUCUUAGUCUGAUGCUGCUCAAGGAAGGAUCCCUGGGUGUAGAAGGUCUGCUUGCACACAGGAGCUGGGAGCCACUAGGGACUGACCUCACCAGGAAGUAUGCAUGCACAUGUUGCAGAUUAGUGAGUUCUUCAUGGUGGAUUCAGGAAAACCAGGGAGCUAAAUGUAAUAGGGACUUCAGAGCAGGUAGACACACUCUAAACUGACAGGAGAAGCUGGAAGGCCAGGGCUUGAAGUGCAAAAUUAUAGGAGGUGGGAGAGCUAGGGAAGCCAGCAAAGCAACUAUCAGUCAGCUGCCUCUCAGAGGAGGUUAGGAGGGGAACCAAUUUGGGCAAGAAUGAGGACUAUUUUAUUAUGGAGAACUCCUUAAUUAUGCAGUUAGAGAACUGUGUGUGGUGCAUUCCAGGGCCUACACUGCUCUCAUAAGGAUUCCACUGUUAAUUUAAAAAAGAGAAAUAGCAAUGCAACUUUCUCAACUCCCACGCCAUUCACACAUUGACUUUGUGUGCCAACUCAAAGCAUACCCACUGGAAAUGAAAACAGAGUCAAAGCCAACCCUCAAACUGAAUCUUGUCAAGCCGCAGAUUUACAGAAGGACUUUGUUUUCUUUCUCUCCUUUCAAAACAAAUUUUUCUUUCUGACAUUUAAAAAAACUACAUAUUUGUUAAACCAAAAAUGCCAGGUCUCAAGUCCUUAACGACGAAGGCCCUCCGUCAGUGUUUGAUCAUUAUUAUAGGUGGUCUCGUGCACAUUUGCACAGUAUCGGGUAUGAAGACCUUUGUGAAUAUACCCACACCUGGAUGCUUCCAGAUUUGGUCCCUCCUUUUGGAAAUAUAAGCAGCCAACAUGAAUGGAACUAUUAGGCCAGAGAAUCUCAGUGGAGCCAAUGGAGAUGGUGCACCAAUGAGAUGCAAAUCUGACCCCUAAUAGGUGGCCACUCCAGGCAACUUUGUUCUGGUGGAACAGCAAACUAGAGGGCAAAGGCUUCAAAUUCUCAUGAGAGGGACUCUCUGGAAGAAAAAUAUUAUGUAUCCAACACAAAUACAUACAUCACACACACCCCUGAAACAAGAGCUUUAUGAAAUCAUAAUGACAUAGUCACCCCUGCUUGUGAAUGUUGGUCUCUUCAAAAAGUCAUUCAGACUAGACCACAUUUUUUUUUCACAGUAUUUUCAUUAACAAAAUAACUAAAUAGAACUUUUCUUUGAUCUCACAAUGUUCUAAGGUACUAUUUUAAUAAUUCCUUUUCCUUCAUCAUUCCCAUGGAAGGCACUCCUCUAGUUCCUCUCCUUACCAACACAUUUUACUCUUGCCUUUUAAACCCUGGGGAAGCAAUUAACACAAUGAUGGUAGCAUAGAUUCACCUCCACUCUCUGUGUGAUCUUGGGCCAGUUCCUUAGCCUCUCUGUGUCUCAGUUUCCUGUGAAAGGAUAAUGAUAAUAAUAAGACUGCCUGAUAGGGUGGCUGUGGGGAUUUAGCCUGCCAAUAGAGAGCACAGAGGAAGACACCUGCUACCACAAUUGUUGUUAUUUCUCAAACCCUAUCCUCUGGAGGGGGCGCCCAGCUUGAUCCCCCAACACAUGCCUUGAACAUUGGCAGCAUCUUUUCCCAUCUGCUGACACUCAUGCUACAUGCCACCUGCAUUUUUCUGACCUCUGGCAUUACCAUUUUAAGUUUUCCAAUUUGUUUACAACGCUUCUAAAAUGUAUUAGUUAACAUAAAUGAUUUCAGAAGUUACUAAGUCAACUUUAGAUAUUACUUAAUCACAAGUGGUGAUAAAAAGAAAAAAACUUCAACUUUUACCCCAGGAGAUACACACACACACACACACUCUCACACACACACACACACACACACAUAUAUGUAUAUUUUUUUUUUCCCAAAAGAAAAGUGUUUUGGACAUUGUAUUACUCAUGAACAUUCUAUCAUUCACACACUCAUUGGUGGUGGCAAUUGAAGGAAACAAUUGAAGGCCUUACAGUUCCUUUAAGCAGGGAAAAUCCAUGGGAAAAGGGCAUGCUCACUGCACAUACAGAUGGAUUUUUUUCUGGUGUUUUAUGAGUACAUUCUUUUACCAUACAAUUAAGGUCACUAUGUACCCCAGGCUAUAUUGCAGGGCUCAUGGUCAGGUGCUUUUAACAAGAUGUUUCCCUCUUCCGUUUUGCUCCAAAAUGUUGUUAUGGGGCUGGAAGCCUAGAGAAGCAUGUUUGUUAAAGGAAUGAAUAAAUUUCUUAGAUUCCAUUAAUGAAUUCUUAAUGAAUAAAUGGCAUGCACUUUGGUGCCUGUGUUUAGGGACAUUUUUUCUGGUUGCUCUGGGGACAGUGCUCUUCAACUGUGUUUCACAUAAUUGCUAUUACCCAAAAAGGGCAUCUUGAUAAGUCAGGUUUUAUGAUACCCUGUUCUCAGGCCAUUUCCCGAGUGUGCAGAGUUUCUUUCCAAACUGAUUCUAAGCAGAGUACAGACACUAUGUUUUGUUUUGUUUUUUCAUUUCAUUUAUUCAUUCUUCCAACAACAACAAAGAAAUCACCAAGCACCCGACAUUCCAGGCAUUAUGCCAGGUGACAAAAAGAAUUCCAAGAGUAUGUACAUGGGAUUUUUAUAGUUGUCAAAGUGCUUUUGGGUAAAUCAUCUCAUUUAGUCUCUAAACUCUGUGAAGCAGGUUACUUUAUUCCUAUUUUACAGAUAAACGAAAUUAGAAGAUACAAAAGAAAAAGUAAUGGGAAAAGAAAGAAGUAUUUAUUAACCGACCCAAAUCCUGAACGUUCAGUCCCAUCCAUGUGUUUACAGAAGGACAGCUCACUCAAGAGCAUGGAGCUUGCUCUAUGAGCUACCUAGUAUUUGCCCAGGCCAGCGCUGCAUGCAGAAAGUCACUUAAACUCUUUGGAGGAAGAUCAUUUUGAUGUUGGUGAGGUUUCAGGCCAUCUCUUGGAAAGAGAGAAAGAGGAUAAUAAUGAAUUCCAGGAACCAGAAGAAAAGAGAAGAUUAAAGACGCUGGGACUAGGAAGACCCAUAAGAGACUAAUGAGGUUUAUUUCUGUCUGGGGAAAAAGACAGGCCAAGAGAAAGGAUGGAUGAGGUUAAAACGAGAGGCCACAGAGUGCAGACGGCAGAGACUUAAGAUCCACGGACAGUUUCCAGGAUGCAACGAACUGGCCUCAAGAAAAAGAAACUUUCUUCUUAAAGCUUUCAUUAACAACUUCCAGCCUGCGAAAUGGUUCCAGAUUUCUGGCAGCUUUUUGAAUUAGCUUCAGUCCCAAUUUCAAAGCA
RNAcentral lists this long non-coding RNA (5293 nucleotides) under Marmota monax (woodchuck). Lineage: Eukaryota; Metazoa; Chordata; Mammalia; Rodentia; Sciuridae. The record is from RNAcentral.